This 818-nucleotide long non-coding RNA is filed under the name Homo sapiens (human). RNAcentral describes it as "HSALNT0408626". Lineage: Eukaryota; Metazoa; Chordata; Mammalia; Primates; Hominidae. The record is from RNAcentral.
CAGAGCCAAACCAUAUCAAGCAUAUCAUCUUCAAACAAGGAUAACUUGAUUUCUUCUUUUCCAAUUUGGAUGCCCUUUAUUUAUUAUUGCUCUUGUCUGAUUGCUCUAGCUAGAACUUCCAGCACUAUAUUGAAUAACAGUGUUGAAAGUGGGCAAACUUGUCGUGUUCCAGAUAUUACAUAAAAAACUUUCUGUUUUUCUCUGUUCAGUAUGAUAUUAGCUGUAGGUGUGACAUAUAUGGCUUUUAUUGUGUUGAGACAGUAUUUUGUUGAGGAUUUUUGCAUCAAUAUUCAUCAGACUUGCUUUGUGACCUAAUAUAUGGUGUAUCCUUGAGCAUGAUUCAUGAGCUAAAGAGAAGAAUGUGUAUUCUGUAGCCAUUGGAUGAAAUGUUCUGUAGAUAUCUAUUGGAUUUAUUUGCUCUAUAGUGCAGAUGAAGUCUGAAGUUUCUUUGUUGAUUUUCUGCUAGAUGAUCUUUCCGGUGCUGAAAGCAGCGUGUAGAAUUAUGCAGCUAUUAUUGUAUUGGGGCCGAUCUUUCUUGUUAGCUCUAAUAAUGUUUGCUUUAUAUAUGUUGGUAUUCUUUUGUUUGGUGCAUAUAUAUUUAUAAUUGUUAUAUCCUCUUACUGAAAUGACUCCUUUAUCAUUAUAUAAUGAGCUUUCUUGUCUCUUAUAGUUUUUGUCUUCAAAUCUAUUUUGUCUGGUAUAAGUAUACCUACCCUUGCUCUCUUUUGGCUUCCAUUGGCAUGACAUAUCUAUCUUUUUCUAUCCCUUUAUUUUCAGGCUAUGUGUGUCUUUAUAGGUGAAGUGUGUUUUUGUAGCAA